AUCGGCAAAGAGGCCUAGGAUCGGCAAGGCCUGCAAACUGCAGAGCUCUUCUCUCCCCGCCUCUCAGCUGAUCUGCGAGUGAGCGGGGCUUCCAGAGAGGCCUCCGAGUAGGCCUCCCUGAAGCCUGAACUCGAGUAGGCCCCAAGCAAGGAAGGAAAGAAGGAAGGAGGCAGCAGACCCUCUGCCCAGACCAGACCAUCCAGAACAGCUAUUGCUAGGUAUUGCCUUCUGAACUUCCAAGCACCCGAAGCCAUUCCAUCUCUGAAAUCAAAUGUGUUUGGGCUUCAUCAGGACUUGUAUGGAAAGUCACCCCAACAGAUGUUGCUCCAAGCUCCAUACAGGAAAGGUGUGUAGAAGAAAGAAAGAAAAAACAAUGUUUGGAGGCAGAUGUGAGAGAAGCUGGUAGGAAAAGGUUUAACAUUUUUAUUAAAAAAUAAAUGCAAGUCAACCAAUCUUACAUCAACUUUACACCAAGAACACAGUCAGUGAAGGGCAUGAGAAAAAACAUAGUAAAUAUAACUUAAUCUGCUCUCCCCUUCGAACCUUGUGGUGUACUUUAAAAACCUUGUCAGCAAAAAAGGUGACCAAAGGGCAAGUAAAGUGCAAUGGAACAAAUGACACUUUUACUGGGUGCCGGAUUUACUAGUUGUAUUUUACCUGCAGUUUGCAAAGAACUUUUAAAAACUGAAUUUUGAAAUUGUGACACUUCUUGUAGAAAUAAAUGCUCUUUAGAUAUUGUUA
Molecule: long non-coding RNA, 741 nt
Organism: Hemicordylus capensis (graceful crag lizard)
Lineage: Eukaryota; Metazoa; Chordata; Lepidosauria; Squamata; Cordylidae
Exons: 3
Source: RefSeq, a predicted model, not a curated record